AAAAUUAAAAGGACGCGGUAACCUUGACCGUGAUAAUGUAGCAUAAUCAUUCGCCAUUUAAUUGAUGGAUAGUAUGAAUGGUUGAACGAAUAUUCCACUGUCUUAAAAAGAAAUAAACAAAAAUUAGAAUAAUAGUAAAGAUUCUAUUUAAAAUUGUAAGACGAAAAGACCCUAUAGAGCUUAACUAUAAUUUUUCUUUGUAAUUUAUUAUAAAAGAAAAAUUGGUAGUUUAGUUGGGGCGACUGUCUUUUAAAAAUAACAAAGACAAGCAAAAUUAAUAAUAAAAUUUAUUGUAUAAUCUAUAAAUUUAACAAUUACAAGAGUAGGCUAUAAUGACCCGUUAUUAUUAGAUAAAAAAAAUAACGAUCAAUAAAUAAAAGCUACCUUAGGGAUAACAGGAUAAUUUUAUUCUAGAGAUCUAAUCGAAAAUAAAGUUUGUCACCUCUAUGUUGAAUUAAGA
RNAcentral lists this ribosomal RNA (460 nucleotides) under Sertularella sp. CM-2011. RNAcentral's name for it is "partial 16S ribosomal RNA". It matches the Rfam family "Bacterial large subunit ribosomal RNA", at positions 1919 to 2542 of the family's 2925-position model. Lineage: Eukaryota; Metazoa; Cnidaria; Hydrozoa; Leptothecata; Sertulariidae. The record is from RNAcentral.